This is a long non-coding RNA of Rosa rugosa (rugosa rose), 3641 nucleotides long. RefSeq lists it as uncharacterized. Lineage: Eukaryota; Viridiplantae; Streptophyta; Magnoliopsida; Rosales; Rosaceae. The transcript has 2 exons. The record is from RefSeq and is a predicted model, not a curated record.
GUGGAUCGACAUUUCAUCAAAGAGAAGUUGGAGUCAGAAACCAUUAACAUGCCACAUGUGCGUACUGAAGAUCAACUUGCAGAUAUUCUGACCAAAGCAGUUUUUGGAAAAGUGUUCCACAGCUCACUAGACAAGUUGGGUAUGCGAGACAUCUAUUCCCCAACUUGAGGGGGAGUGUUACAUGAGCUGUAGCACACUAUGCUUUCCAGCAAUGCUGCAGCUCACUAUGCUUUCCAGCAAUGUUGCAGCUGGAAUAUACUAAUAUUGACAGAGGUGUAUAUGUAAGCUUUCUAGCUGUAAUACACAGAGUGUAAUCAUGGUAUGAGCUCUAUAAGAGCAUGAUUGUAAUUCAGUUGUAAGUGUGCUUGAAUACAGAAAUACAUUACCAGUUUUGACAUGGUAUCAGAGCAGUUUGCUCUUGAGACCGAUACCCAUAUCUAGAAAUCUAAAUUACCCAUACCCAUAUUCCGCUGCCAGAAUUACCAAGAGAAGAACUCUGUUCUUCAUCUAAACCAAGCACCAGAAACUCUUAGCCAUACCAAUACCUUCAACAGAAGAACCUUGUUUCUUCAUCUUAACCAAGUACCCAGAAAAUACCAGCACCAGAAAAUCUAAACCAAUACGAAAGAACUUUUGUUCUUCCCCAUAUCCAUAUUCCUAGAAAAUACCAAGAACAAAUUUUGUUCUUCAGUACUCAGUACCCAUAUCAAUACCAAAUUCUAUCCCAUACCAAACUCAGAAAAAAAAAAAUCAAACUACCUUGAUUCCUUUCAGACCACUAGGUACGUGAACAUCACCAACCUCAAGGGUGGUAAAGCUGGGUUCGGUACUGAAGAUAACAAUACUCCUUUCUACCAUAAGUCUCUGAAGUUAUCAGACCACCUCAUAUAAUAUCACACCCAAACUAGCGGUGCAGUCCCACAUCCAAGCCGGCCGUACUGCACCACCUCCAUUCCCACCAACGAAACCCGAGCUGCAGCAUCUCCGAUCGAACCGCGCCUUUCACUCCACCGCAGCAGCAGCUCCAUUCUCCGAUCUGCACUUCCACUUCAGUUUCAGCUGACAGAAGAAAGAAGAAAAGAAAGGAGAGAGAGACAGGGGCUGGUCUCGGAAAAGGGAGGAGAAGAAGAGAGAGAGAGAGAAAAAAAAAAAAAAAACCAACUUUCUUAAAAGCAGAAGAAGAAAAGAAGAAAGGGACAGGCACGUCCUUUCUUUAAACUCAACUUUAAAAGGCCCACACAUGAGACUCCUUUAAAAAAAAAAAGGGAGGAGGCGUGCAAGCUUGCCAGCUUUGUCUGGAGAAAAGGAAAAAAAAAAAAAAGGCAGGCUUUCUCGAAAAAGUGGAGAGAAAAAAAAAAAGAAAAAAAAAGAGAAUCUCGCAGAGGAGAUCCGACAAAGGAGAAUCUCGCAGAGGAGAAUCUCACAGAGGAGCACCUCUCUUGUCUUCCUCUUCGCCUUAAAAGAAAAAGUAAAAGGUAAAUUAGAUUAGAAAUUUUAUCCUUGUAACGUCGAGCUUACUCGCUCAACCACAUAGGUCCACCCAAUUAAUGUGGUGUCUAGGCUGAUUGGAUACGAGAAGUGCUAGCAAAGGGUCUCGUCCCCUGCUAAACAAGUAAACUGAGCUCCGCCAAAAUCGUUCCUCUACUACCUGGCUACAUUAAAAUGAGUUACCGAAAGGUUGCACGAUAGGCAACACCCAAGGAUCCGAUUUCUCUUCUCUUUACUUAGUAAGUUACUGUCUUCUUCGACCCAAAUUUCAUACCCCUCCUCAUCUUCUUCAGAUGGCGCUUUCUUCUUGCCGGUGAGGUAGCCAAGUUUACCUCGGCCGGUGAUGUUCAACUUCGCAUGUUUAGACCAGGAAAUAAAAUUGGUGCUGUCCAAUUUUUCUGGAGCAAUAGGACCAUGAUCAUUGGACGAUGAUCGCCCUUUAUGUUGAGAAGAGUUGGUUGCCGAUGUGUGGGUUGAAUCAGCAGAUACUUCCUCGAUGACCAUGGUUCAAUACUUACUAAGUAAAGAGAAGAGAAAUCGGAUCCUUGGGUGUUGCCUAUCGCGCAACCUUUCGGUAACUCCUUUUAAUGUAGCCAGGUAGUAGAGGAACGAUUUUGGCGGAGCUCAGCUCACUUGUUUAGUAGGGGAUGAGACCCUUUGCUAGCACUUCUCGUAUCCAAUCAGCCUAGACACCACAUUAAUUGGGUGGACCUAUGUGGUUGAGCGAGUAAGCUCGACGUUACAAGGAUAAAAUUUCUAAUCUAAUUUACUUUUUACUUUUUCUUUUAAGGUGAAGAGGAAGACAAGAGAGGUGCUCCUCUGCGAGAUUCUCCUCUGCUGGAUUCUCCUCUGCGAGAUUCUCCUUUGUCGGAUCUCCUCUGCGAGAUGCUCCUCUGCGAGAUUCUCUUUUUUUUUUCUUUUUUUUUUUCUCUCCACUUUUUCGAGAAAGCCUGCCUUUUUUUUUUUUUCCUUUUCUCCAGACAAAGCUGGCAAGCUUGCACGCCUCCUCCCUUUUUUUUUUUUUAAAGGAGUCUCAUGUGUGGCCUUUUAAAGUUGAGUUUAAAGAAAGGACGUGCCUGUCCCUUUCUUCUUUUCUUCUUCUGCUUUUGAGAAAGUUGGUUUUUUUUUUUUUUUUUUUCUCUCUCUUCUUCUCCUCCUCCUCCCUUUUCCGAGACCAGCCCUUGUCUCUCUCUCCUUUCUUUUCUUCUUUCUUCUGUCAGCUGAAACUGAAGUGGAAGUGCAGAUUGGAGAAUGGAGCUGCUGCUGCGGUGGAGUGGAAGGCGCGGUUCGAUCGGAGAUGCUGCAGCUCGGGUUUCGUUGGUGGGAAUGGAGGUGGUGCAGUACGGCCGACUUGGAUGUGGGACUGCACCGCUAGUUUGGGUGUGAUAUUGUAUGAGGUGGUCGGAUAACUUCAGAGACUUAUGGUAGAAAGGAGUAUUGUUAUCUUCAGUACCGAACCCAGCUUUACCACCCUUGAGGUUGGUGAUGUUCACGUACCUAGUGGUCUGAAAGGAAUCAAGGUAGUUUGAUUUUUUCUUUUCUGAGUUUGGUAUGGGAUAGAAUUUGGUAUUGAUAUGGGUACUGAGUACUGAAGAACAAAAUUUGUUCUUGGUAUUUUCUAGGAAUAUGGAUAUGGGGAAGAACAAAAGUUCUUUGGUAUUGGUAUGGCUAAGAGUUUCUGGUGCUUGGUUCAGAUGAAGAACAGAGUUCUUCUCUUGGUAAUUCUGGCAGCGGAAUAUGGGUAUGGGUAAUUUAGAUUUCUAGAUAUGGGUAUCGGUCUCAAGAGCAAACUGCUCUGAUACCAUGUCAAAACUGGUAAUGUAUUUCUGUAUUCAAGCACACUUACAACUGAAUUACAAUCAUGCUCUUAUAGAGCUCAUACCAUGAUUACACUCUGUGUAUUACAGCUAGAAAGCUUACAUAUACACCUCUGUCAAUAUUAGUAUAUUCCGCCAGCUGCAACAUUGCUGGAAAGCAUAGUGAGCUGCAGCAUUGCUGGAAAGCAUAGUGUGCUACAGCUCAUGUAACAUGAGUCUCCCAAACUUGCAUACCAACCUGGAACUAUACGUGUACUAUAUAUCAGCCUCUGAGCUUCUUGAUUCUUCCCUAGUUCCCUAUUUUACACUUGCUAUUUACAGAUCUCCCCUGAAGAA